CCUACGGGAGGCAGCAGUCGAGAAUCAUUCACAAUGGGGGAAACCCUGAUGGUGCGACGCCGCGUGGGGGAAUGAAGGUCUUCGGAUUGUAAACCCCUGUCAUGUGGGAGCAAAUUAAAAAGAUAGUACCCCAAGAGGAAGAGACGGCUAACUCUGUGCCAGCAGCCGCGGUAAUACAGAGGUCUCAAGCGUUGUUCGGAAUCACUGGGCGUAAAGCGUGCGUAGGCUGUUUCGUAAGUCGUGUGUGGAAGGCGCGGGCUCAACCCGCGGACGGCACAUGAUACUGCGAGACUAGAGUAAUGGAGGGGGAACCGGAAUUCUCGGUGUAGCAGUGAAAUGCGUAGAUAUCGAGAGGAACACUCGUGGUGAAGGCGGGUUCCUGGACAGUAACUGACGCUGAGGCACGAAGGCCAGGGGAGCGAAAGGGAUUAGAUACCCCAGUAGUC
This 446-nucleotide ribosomal RNA is filed under the name uncultured bacterium. RNAcentral describes it as "partial 16S ribosomal RNA". It matches the Rfam family "Bacterial small subunit ribosomal RNA", at positions 338 to 795 of the family's 1533-position model. The record is from RNAcentral.